UUUCCACUGAGGGACGCCCCCUGCUCUGGACUGCUUAGCCUACUCCAGCUGGCCCCAUCUCACCUCAUCGGCCCCGCCUCCUCCGCAUGCCCACUCCGGGCGCCCACUCCUGAGGAGCUAUCCCAGAGUCCGCGCGGCCUCGCCUUCCCGGCCCGCUCCCCACCCCGCCCCGUCCCACCUCGCCUCGCCCUCCCCGGGCUCUAGCCACUUGGUGCGGCAGGUGUCCUGCAGGCCGGCUUGAGAUUCCCGGGCUCGCCCUCGUGGUGUUCCAGGAACACGGUACUUUGCGCUAGCCUGGCCUGUCCUGAGAGACUGCGGGAGGCGAAGAGAACGCACUGUUGCUGUGUGAAGCGCCGGGGACGGGACAGCUACACCGCCAAACACUUCGCUAGGGAAAGGGCUGGCUGGUUUCGUGCGUAAACAACCGAAAAGGGGAAGUGUCUGGGGGAAAGUGUGUGUGUGUGUGUGUGUGAAUGCGGGUGAGUGAGGGGGAGAGGGACACGUUACUAAAGUCAGGAAAAUAUUUUGAAAAAAAUAGUUUGGUCUAACAAAAAUAAAAUGGAAGAGAGAUUUGUUUAAGUAGUUUGAAGCUGAAAGAUUGACGGGAUCUUGCCAUGACCUGAACAGCAUGCACCUGUUUUGUGGCUGGCUGAAGGAUGAGUCUCGCUCGGGCACCAGGCUGGAGUGCAGUGGCACGGUCUCGGCUUACUACAACCUCCGCCUUCCGGAUUCAAGUGAUUCUGCUGCCUCAGCCUCCCGAGUAGCUGGGAUUACAGUGUUUCAGAAUCACCUGGGAUGAUCUGCAUGAAGAUUCCUGGCCUCCACCAAAGACUUACUGAAUCAGAAAGGAGGCAAGAGGAUGAGGAAUGCUUAAGAAUCUGCAUUAACAAACUUUACAACUGAAUCUUACAACAUACAGAAGCAUGGAAACUACUGCCUCAAGGGAUUAUCUCAACUUGAGUUUAAACAUAGGAAUUGCUGACUACCUUUAAAAUGUAAAAAUAGUAUCUUUAUGGGAGGGAUGUUGUUUGGGGGCAGCUACUAAAUAGUGAAAUCAUUCCUUUAAAAUACCCUCUCAAGUCUGCCCCAGUUAUCCAUUUUACUGGAUAGUCUUGGUAUCCAGAUGAUUUAGGGAAAAAAAUAGUAGUAGCAAACUCUGAAAACACUCAGUAAAGUUCAUUCUUGGUCUUCUCUUCCUAAAUUUGUUUUCAAUUGUUAGAUUUAAACACUAAACAAGACCAAAAGAGAACUUUAUUUUACAUGUCUUUAUUUUACAUUUAGAACCGUUUUAUGAUUUACUUAAAAAAAAAAAUCUUUUACUAUUACUAGAAGUAUUUUUUAACCAAAAUCUUGAUUUAGGAAGACUUAAGACAUUGUGCAUUAUUUUAAAUAUUUUCAUUUCAGUAACUAUUAAAAAUAAAUUCACAAUUAGGGUUUCAAAUGUCCUAAUCAUAUCUAGUUUGUUCUCAUUUAAUAUUUUAUCAAUCCCAUCAUGUGCAUACAGAGGUUAAGGUGAUGUAUAAAUUUUGUAUCUUUCAAACACAUUGAUGCUAAUCAGCUCUUGAUCUAAUUACUAUUUCAUUUAUUCAGAAAUAGCAUUUAGACAUAAAAACCAAUGUCUCACUUUGUAAAAUAACCUUUGCAAAUUUACACACAUCUAAUACAGCGUGUUAUAUAAGUUUUAAGUAAUACAAUGAGUCACUACUAUCAUUCAGUUUUAAAUAUUUUUAGUGUUAACAGGGCUGAGAUAUCAUGUGGUUCAGUCUUCUGAAGGAAGUUAUAUAAUAAAAGCAUAGUGCCUUUGAACAUGAAGACUAUCCUCAAGGCCAGAAGUCCUACAAAGGAACUGAAAGGAGAGAUUCCAGAGAAUUGCUCUCCUCAUUUUUAAUAUGUAAAGUGACUGUUUUAAGUCACUUCACUGAAGACUUAGUGAAGAAAAUAGUGUUAUUAUGCCACUGAAUAAAGCUACUUAAACCAGAGUAAUUUUGGGAUAUUAAUCCUAGGCUACAUAAUUAAUAGGUCAUCAAAAAAAAAACCUGUCAGUUAUUAGGUGUAAGUUAACUUCCUAUGCCAAGUAAGGGGUCACACUUCACUUCCCCCAUUUGUAAAAUGAAAAGGUGGCCCGGCCAGUGCCAUUUAGGAUUCUCUGCUAACUGUAAAAUGUGGACUGAUUUUCUUCUGUUUCUUAUAGUCCAGGUGUAUAUAAACUUCCAGUUCUUUAAGUCAAAAUAAUUUUUAUGCACAUAACCAUGUCAGUGUAUUGCCCUUAGUUUAAAAAUGUACAACUACAUAAAUAAAAACUAUUGUUUCUUCAAUAUUACUUGA
Pan troglodytes (chimpanzee) is the source of this 2325-nucleotide long non-coding RNA. RefSeq lists it as uncharacterized. The record is from RefSeq and is a predicted model, not a curated record. NCBI's taxonomy places the organism in Eukaryota, Metazoa, Chordata, Mammalia, Primates, Hominidae. The transcript is spliced from 3 exons.